CUGGGGUUUAGACUGGGGUUUAGACUGGCUUUUAGACUGGGGUUUAGACUGGAGUUUAGACUGAGCUUAAAACUGGAGUUUAGACUGGGGUUAAAACUGGGGUUUAGACUGGGGUUUAAAUUGGGGUUUAGACUGGCUUUUAGACUGGGGUUUAGACUGGAGUUUAGACUGGAGUUUAGACUGGAGUUUAGACUGGGGUUUAGACUGAGAUGUAGUUUAUUUUGUCCUUUAUUUUUUAAUUAUCCAUUGCAU
Astyanax mexicanus (Mexican tetra) is the source of this 252-nucleotide long non-coding RNA. RefSeq lists it as uncharacterized. NCBI's taxonomy places the organism in Eukaryota, Metazoa, Chordata, Actinopteri, Characiformes, Acestrorhamphidae. The transcript has 3 exons. The record is from RefSeq and is a predicted model, not a curated record.